Molecule: non-coding RNA, 65 nt
Organism: Dipodomys ordii (Ord's kangaroo rat)
Lineage: Eukaryota; Metazoa; Chordata; Mammalia; Rodentia; Heteromyidae
Source: Rfam
GGUGGCUCAGUGGCAGAGCGCUUGCCUUGCAUGCAUGAGGCCUUGGGUUCGAUUCCUCAGCACCA